This 959-nucleotide long non-coding RNA is filed under the name Macaca mulatta (Rhesus monkey). RNAcentral's name for it is "lncRNA (ENSMMUG00000052383.1)". The record is from RNAcentral. Lineage: Eukaryota; Metazoa; Chordata; Mammalia; Primates; Cercopithecidae.
CUGGAUAUUCUAAAUUAAAAGAAUUUCAUGUAAACCAGCAUGAAUAACUUUAAAGGCUAUUCAUUUUCCCCCCCUGUUCUGUAAUAAUUUAAAAACACUAAAUAGAAACAGGAAAAGUAAACCAGCCUAAAAGCAAAGCUCUUUUAGAAUGAACCCAAAGUGCUUCUAAAAUUGCACAGAGAAGAGAUAUUCUUUCUAACCAGCAAGUUAUCCAUCCAGAAAAAAAACAAAACAAAAAAAAAAUUUGUCUCUCCAACCAACUUCUACCUGGACCAUUCCGGAAUUUUGAAUGGUCCAUUAUUUGUUAACAUUCUUUCAGGCUCCACCUACUUAAACUCUUCCCUUUCAGUCUCAAUUUGAAAAAUUGCUUUCUAGGUUAACUAAAUUACUAUGUUGUGCCCUUGAUCAGCAUUCUGCACAAACACUGAUUAUUUGCUUAGCAGAAAAACUGGAAAACAGGGCUUACUAUGAGAUGUCAGAACCAGUCCUGCAAUCCCGAGACACCUUCGCAGCCGCAUUUUACUUCUGUUUUUGCAACAGGAAUGGAAGGUGAAAAGUAGGAGAAAACAAAAAUAAAAGACCAUUCAUUCUAAAGGAAGCAAAAUAGGGCCACCUCCAGAAGCUGAAGAUGAAAGAGUAAUGGAAAAGCAGACCACUAUCCUCCUCUCAUUCUCUCUCUCCUAAGCCACAUGUUAUGCCAACAGAGGACAGAAAAGCUUUGAAUCCAGUAUAAAAUUGCAACACUAAAUUCGACUGAUAAGAAAGUUAUGGAAUCCACUCGAGACAAUUUUAAGUGUCUGUGACAGAGCAUACAUAUGGCCCAUUGAAGAACAAUGAGUAGAAUAAAUGCAAAACGUGUCAUGUUUAUACCCUAUUGAGACAGACAUCUCAAUAAACUGAUUAUAAAAUUAUAACAAGCUAACACUAAAAUCAUGUGCCUUUCAAAAAUUAUUUUCCUG